GCCCGUUCGAGCGUCAUUACACCAAUCAAGCCUGGCUUGGUAUUGGGCGUCGGGAGACCCCGCGCCCUCAAUUCAUCGGCUGGACGGUUCGAAUCUCAGCGUUGUGGUAAAUCAAUUCGCUGGCGAGGACGACCGGACGCGCCGUUAAACCUCUAUUACAGGUUGACCUCGGAUCGGGUAGGGAUACCCGCUGAACUUAA
This 200-nucleotide unclassified non-coding RNA is filed under the name soil metagenome. Its description in RNAcentral is "partial contains internal transcribed spacer 2 and large subunit ribosomal RNA". The record is from RNAcentral.